This 305-nucleotide ribosomal RNA is filed under the name uncultured bacterium. RNAcentral describes it as "partial 16S ribosomal RNA". It matches the Rfam family "Bacterial small subunit ribosomal RNA", at positions 508 to 807 of the family's 1533-position model. The record is from RNAcentral.
ACAGCAGUCGCCGCGGGAAUACGAAGGGUGCAAGCGUUACUCGGAAUUACUGGGCGUAAAGCGUGCGUAGGUGGUGGUUUAAGUCCGUUGUGAAAGCCCUGGGCUCAACCUGGGAAUUGCAGUGGAUACUGGGUCACUAGAGUGUGGUAGAGGAUAGUGGAAUUUCCGGUGUAGCAGUGAGAUGCAUAGAUAUCGGGAGGAACAUCAGUGGCGAAGGCGGCCAUCUGGGACAACACUGACGCUGAGGCACGAAAGCGUGGGGAGCAAACAGGAUUAGAUACCCCUGUAGUCCCUGUCUCUUAUAC